Molecule: ribosomal RNA, 253 nt
Filed under: uncultured bacterium
Lineage: Bacteria
Description: partial 16S ribosomal RNA
Rfam family: Bacterial small subunit ribosomal RNA
Source: RNAcentral
UACGUAGGGUGCGAGCGUUAAUCGGAAUUACUGGGCGUAAAGGGCGCGCAGGCGGUUCUGUAAGACAGAUGUGAAAUCCCCGGGCUUAGCCUGGGAACUGCAUUUGUGACUGCAAGACUAGAGUGUAGCAGAGGGGGGUAGAAUUCCACGUGUAGCAGUGAAAUGCGUAGAUAUGUGGAGGAAUACCAAUGGCGAAGGCAGCCCCCUGGGUUAACACUGACGCUCAUGCACGAAAGCGUGGGGAGCAAACAGG